UACGGAGGAUGCAAGCGUUGUCCGGAUUCAUUGGGCUUAAAGCGUGCGUAGGCGGCUUAGUAAGUCUGCGGUGAAAGCCCGUCGCUUAACGGCGGAACUGCCAUUGAUACUGCUAGGCUUGAGUAUGGUUGAGGUGGGCGGAAUGUGUCAUGUAGCGGUGAAAUGCUUAGAUAUGACCCAGAACACCAAUGGCGAAGGCAGCUCGCUAAGCCAUAACUGACGCUGAGGCACGAAAGCGUGGGGAGCAAACAGG
Molecule: ribosomal RNA, 253 nt
Filed under: uncultured bacterium
Lineage: Bacteria
Description: partial 16S ribosomal RNA
Rfam family: Bacterial small subunit ribosomal RNA
Source: RNAcentral